AUCCAAAAAUAUUUUUGUUAUCCUAAUUUAUAAAUCACAAUCCCAAAUCUACAAUAUUUCUUAAGAAAAUGAAAACUUUCCAAAAAUACCAGUUUUUAAGAAAAUUAUUUAAAAAUACAAAAUUUUAAUAAAAAAAUCUUAAAGAAUACUCAUUUAUCCACAAAUAUUCUUGUUAUCCUAUGUUAUAUAUCAGAAUCCCAAAUCUACAAUAUUUCUCAAGAAAAUGAAAACUUUUCAAAAAUAGCAGUUUUCAAAAAAAUUAUUUAAAAAUACAAAAUAUUGAUAAAAAAUUCUUAAAGAAUACUCAUCUAUCCCCAAGUAUUCUUGUUAUCCUAAUUUAUAAAUCACAAACUCAAAUCUACAAUAUUUCCCAGAAAAUUAAAACCUUCCAAAAAUAACAGUUUUUAAGAAAAUUAUUUAAAAAUACAACCUAUUGAUGAACAUUUCUUAAAGAAUACUAAUCUAUCCACAAAUAUUCUUGUUAUCCUAAUUUAUAAAUCACAAUCUCAAAUCUACAAUAUUUUUCAGGUAAAUGAAAACUUUCCAAAAAUAGCAGGUUUUAAGAAAAUUAUUUAAAAAUACAACAUAUUGAUGAAAAAAUCUUAAAGAAUACUCAUCUAUCCACAAAUAUUUUUGUUAUCCUAAUUUAUAAAUCACAAACCCAAAUCUACAAUAUUUCUCAAGAAAAUGAAAACUUUCCAAAAAUGACAGUUUUUAAGAAAAUUAUUUAAAAAUACAAAAUAUUGAUGAAAAAUUCUUAAAGAAUACUCAUCUAUUCACAAAUAUUCUUGUUAUCCUAAUUUAUAAAUCACAAUCUCAAAUCUACAAUAUUUCUCAAGAAAAUGAAAACUUUCCAAAAAUAACAAUUUUUAAGAAAAUUAUUUAACAAUACAACAUAUUGAUGAAAAAUUCUUAAAGAAUACUCAUCUAUCCACAAGUAUUCUUGUUAUCCUAAUUUAUAAAU
RNAcentral lists this long non-coding RNA (964 nucleotides) under Brassica napus (rape). RNAcentral's name for it is "long non-coding RNA (BNAP_LNC022347)". Lineage: Eukaryota; Viridiplantae; Streptophyta; Magnoliopsida; Brassicales; Brassicaceae. The record is from RNAcentral.